This is a long non-coding RNA of Helianthus annuus (common sunflower), 850 nucleotides long. RefSeq lists it as uncharacterized. The transcript has 2 exons. The record is from RefSeq and is a predicted model, not a curated record. NCBI's taxonomy places the organism in Eukaryota, Viridiplantae, Streptophyta, Magnoliopsida, Asterales, Asteraceae.
CUUGCAAGCUGGUGGAUUCCCUGAGCCCGAGAUCAUUCACUAUAUCCUAAGGAGUUCCAUUACGGUAAAAAGAAAGCAUUUCCAUUCCAGGACCAGGAUUUCCCAAUGAUUGGCGUCAUGGGAGGCGCGAUUCCGAUGGGAACUUUUUGUUAUGGAAGAUCAUGUACUGUAUGAAUUUCUAGAGCUUGCACGAGAUGAAAAUGAAGAACAUGGGAGGCUAUUUUUAGAGCGAUUUAAUAUUUUUUUUCACUAAACAAUGUAUUAAUUUUUUUAAAUCUUCUUAUUUUAAGUAAUUUGAUGUAACUGAAACUUACAGUCUCUUUUAUAGCCGAAUGCACUUUUAUAUAAGAUAACUUAUUUUUAUCUUUCAAAUAUGUGAACACAUGGUUCAAACAAAGUAUAGCUUGCAGUCAUUCAAAAAUUGUAACAAGUUAACAAUUUGGGUUUGCAAAAGCCUAAGUACAAUUUGGGUCACUCAAAUAUGUGAUACAUUGAUUAAAAGGCUUUUGCAAACCCAAAAUUGUAACAAGUUAACAAUUUGUUGACCACAAAUCACAAUUGCCAAGUGAUGGCCUAUACGACAACAUACGUCAUUACGUUGGACAAACACCUAGAGGUAGCUGAUUGUGUUACUGUUAUUUUUUGCUUAUCAUUACCAAAACUAAAAAAACAAAAUUUCUCAUUGUUUUUCUUGGUUGUACACGAAUCCAAUGUAUCUUUAUUUUGCUUAGAAAAAUAUCGUGUAUUAAGAACCUUAGAAUAAUUUUUAUAUGUACACGAAUCAGUUGAGAAAUUCAUGAUUGGGAGCUACAUUUUUCAGUUUAAUGUAAUUUAAUAUCUACAUAAGUAA